Molecule: long non-coding RNA, 1162 nt
Filed under: Rattus norvegicus (Norway rat)
Lineage: Eukaryota; Metazoa; Chordata; Mammalia; Rodentia; Muridae
Description: long non-coding RNA NONRATT009807
Source: RNAcentral
GCCUUUCUGCACUGAAGCAACUCUCCCUGGACAAUAUCUGGCCACUUAAGACUCUGAGAUGAAUGUUGACUUCUGUCCCCUCUAAGCAUCUGAGUCUCAAAGCUCCAUCAAGAUGAAGUUACUUCUUUGGGCCUGCAUCAUGUGUGUCGCUUUUGCAAAGAGGAGACGUUAUCCCUUCAUUCACAAGGAUUACUUUGGAAAUCGCUACCCACUUAAACCAUCUCUGAAUAUCCCCUAUGGCCUAUGGAAUGAUAAUUUGCCACCUUUUGUUUUGCCUCCUCUUAACACUCAACAAGGAAACGCCAUCACCAAAUUCUCCGGAAAUUCUGAGCUUGAAAGAGGGCUAUCUCUAUAUCCUUGGAUUCCCACUUCUCCCAAAUUUCGCUAUAUAUACCAAAACUAUAACUACCCCGCAGAUGCGCCACUGAAUGGUCCUGCAAUUGUUCCUCUUCCUCCUCCCCGACCCUUUCCUCCCAGGCCAUAUCCCUUUGUCAUCCCUCCAAAGAUUUCUGUCAUCUCACCCAUUGGACAUGAGCCUGUAGCAGCUUCUGCUGUGCCUGCUGAAGGCGAGGCUUUGGUACCUGAGAUCCCUGUAGAUAAACAUAUUGCGGGUCUGCCUCCGGUGAUCAAACUUGCAACACCCAUGCCACCCUCUGAACCCAAAUCUCUUGCACCUGAACCUGCUCCAGCCCACUUUGCUGCACCCGAGCCUGUCCCAGUCCAUUUUCUUGCACCGGAACCUGCUCAUCCCCAGCCAGAGAUGGCUGUGCCUGCCGCACCCCACCCCAUGGCACCUGAACCCGCUGUAGCCCUAUCUGUGGGAGCACAGCCUCUAGAAGCUGAAACCCCUGCAGGCCAGUCUCCUGAGAACAAACCUACUUCAGGUGAGCUUGCUGUAGCACAGUCUCUGCCGACCUUGCCUGCUGCAGGCCAACCUCCUCCGGAUGAACUCAUGGCAAGCCAGUCUCUUGUGGGAAAACUUAUUACAGCUGAGCCUACUGAAGCAAAACAGGAGGGACCUGAACCUUUUGAGGCCAAAUCUGCUAGCCACGAACCACAGCCGUUUUCUACCAGAUGCUGAUGAACCAAUCAAAGAAACCUAAACAUUCUUUCUUUUCCCAACAAAUAUUCCCUGUUUUAUUAAAGCUAUCAGUCUCUCCAC